RNAcentral lists this ribosomal RNA (481 nucleotides) under uncultured bacterium. RNAcentral's name for it is "partial 16S ribosomal RNA". It matches the Rfam family "Bacterial small subunit ribosomal RNA", at positions 28 to 507 of the family's 1533-position model. The record is from RNAcentral.
GAUGAACGCUGGCGGCGUGCCUAACACAUGCAAGUCGAGCGAAGCACUUACUUUAGAUUUCUUCGGAAUGACGAAGUUUGUGACUGAGCGGCGGACGGGUGAGUAACGCGUGGGCAACCUGCCCUGUACAGGGGGAUAACAGUUAGAAAUGACUGCUAAUACCGCAUAAGCCCACAGCUUCGCAUGAAGCAGUGGGAAAAACUCCGGUGGUACAGGAUGGGCCCGCGUCUGAUUAGCUAGUUGGUAAGGUAACGGCUUACCAAGGCGACGAUCAGUAGCCGACCUGAGGGGGUGACCGGCCACAUUGGGACUGAGACACGGCCCAAACUCCUACGGGAGGCAGCAGUGGGGAAUAUUGCACAAUGGGGGAAACCCUGAUGCAGCGACGCCGCGUGAGCGAUGAAGUAUUUCGGUAUGUAAAGCUCUAUCAGCAGGGAAGAAAGUGACGGUACCUGACUAAGAAGCCCCGGCUAACUACGUG